CACACUGUGUGGGUUCGGGAUGCCGAGCUCAUGCCAUCAGUCUUGGUGACAAGUGCCUUAACCUGCUGAGUCAUCUUGUUGGCCAUAAGCCAAUUAUCUGCAAAAGGAAGUUUCUUUCCUACGUUGUCUUUACUUCCUGUGACCUGGCUGAAUUUGCCAGUUCGUCUGAGUUGUUAUAGAAAUCCCCUGGGAUUUCGUAAGAGUUACAUCAUCUGCCGCUGAAGAGACUUUUACUUCUCCCUUUGAGACAGACAUGCGCAAACUCAGGCCUGUUGCACAGAAAGUCAAUAUCCAAGAGACCAGUGUUGAGGAAGAGACAGCAGAGCUCCCUGGGGUUGCUACAUCCCUGGACUGACAUCUCCAGACUGCCUUUCAGCCUUUGUAAAGGAAGAGAUGUUUACAAUGAGAACCGAGAACCGGGUUAGGAACUGCCUGCAGAAGCAACCUCCCUAAGAACCCCCUUUCCAACCCCCUGCCCUCCCCUCUCUCUCAUGCAGUCAGUGCUGCUUAUGUGUGCGCGGGUGUGAGGUCAUGCUCUGGAGCAUGGGAAACCUGCCAGUGGCCUCAUCCUAAGAAGUGGAUGAGUCUUCCUCCCCUGGCGACGACCCCACAGCCAAUGGCUCCUCAGGAAAGAAGCGGAGGCUGGACACCCCAUCUACGAUGUCUGUGCCAGCUUGUUGGCUAGUUUGGUGCUGUGCAGGUGGGUCACCACAGAUGCUGUGAGCUGACUGGGACGUCCCUGUCACAUCCAGAAAACAACAUUCCACGUCUCCCUCUUCCCCAACGCCCCAUGGUGGUGGGGCUAAUGGAGACGUGCCGUCCCGAGCUCUUCCUCUUUAGAACAAGGGACUCAGACUGCAGAGUGAAGACACACCCCGAGGAUGGAAGAGAAUGGGAGUAAAGCAAGAUGGAGCCACAGCCACAACCUAUCCUAUAAUCUUUGUGCCUUCCAUGUGUGUUCUUAACUGACUGUACAGGCUGGGACCCUAACCCAGUGCAGCGAUGGAGAAGAGUUCGAGCUCACACCUGUGCUGCUAACCUUGGGGGAUGGGCGGCCACUGGCCACCAUAAAGUAUGACGUCAGCUGUAGGCUUGUUCCAGACAAAGUCUCAUGUAGCUCAGGCUGGCUUGGAAUUCCUGAUCCUGUAGCCUCUACCUCCUGAGUGAAGGACCACGGGUCAGACAGGUAGGCAGGGAGGAAGGGCAGCGACGCUCUAGGUAGAUUAAUAUGCUCUCCACUUAGACAAAAAAAGGUGGUUAGCUUUCUUGAAGACAAGGGUUUGCUGCCUGUUUUCCUGCCAGGGAGAACUUCUCAGUGGCAUUUUUGAAGAAGGGUACGCUAGAUUGGUUUCCUAUGCUGAGGACCAAUCAGCUUCUCCUUCUUUGUCUAGAUUACUGGCCCUGUGCUAGCCCAAACCAGCCAGUCCUGAUGCAAAAAGGGAGCCAGUACCCCCCAAACAUAAGAAUGUUUGUCUCUGAGAUUAAACUCCGACACUACCUUAGGUCUCCUUCCCACCUAAGAAGCUGUCUCUCUAUGUGCUUUGUUCUCUCUCUCUCUCUCUCUCUCUGUGUGUGUGUGUGUGUGUGUGUGUGUGUGUCUGUCUGUCUGUCUGUCUGUCUGUCUGCGCACGCACUUCUGCUUUUAAUAAAACUUGGCUGGCCGGGCCGGGCAGUGGUGGCCACGCCUUUAAUCCCA
Long non-coding RNA from Mus musculus (house mouse), 1696 nucleotides. RefSeq annotates it as predicted gene 13073. The transcript is spliced from 2 exons. The record is from RefSeq and is a predicted model, not a curated record. Lineage: Eukaryota; Metazoa; Chordata; Mammalia; Rodentia; Muridae.